UCGGGAGCCACUUCCAAGAAGUGUUUGAGUCCCUGCUCAUCCCCACUCUGGAAUUCCUGGGAUUUUCCAUCUCUGGGAAUGAAGAUUUUGCUCCAAAUCUGGGAUUUUUUUGGGAAUUUUGCUGCUUCCCCCUCUCCAGGAUCCACGGGGGAGUCAGGGCUGAACCUCCCCCAGGCAUUUUUUGGGGUUUUUUUUCCCCAAUCCCAAAAAAUCCUGGAAAAUCCUAUUUGAGUGUUCAGCAACUCUGGCAAAAAUGGGGAUUUCUCCCAUGGAAUGUGAGCAGGGAGGGAGUGAAGGUGUUUUUAGUGUGUUUAAAGGAGUUUUUUUCUGAAAUAUUUUGAUUUUUUUUUUUUUAAUUGCAUGUCAAUGAUCAGCCUGGCUGGGCUGGGGGUGGAAUGAAUCCAAAAUCCCCCUUUGGAUCCAAAAAUCCAGGAUUUGGGCAGGGAGAAGCCCCUGGAGCCACCUCAAAAUCCCAGCUGGGGGAAACCAGAGGGAAUUUUUUAAAAAUCCAAAAUGGAUUUAAAUCCAAUUUUUGGCUCCUGGGGGAUGAGGAGCCCCCCUGGAACGUUGGGGAGACGGAAAAAAUCAUGGAAAAAAAGUGAUUUUUUUUGGUCGAGGCUCCAUGGAAUUCAUGUGGUUCGUGUCACUCGUGAGGAAUAAAAACCAUUUGGACACUUUGGUUGUUAUCCCUGCGUGCUCAGAGCCCUGCCUGCUUUACAGAAUAUUUUUCAUCGCUUGGAUGCUUCAUUUUGAGGCAGUGACCCGAGCAGGAGCUGAGCUGGUCCCUUGGUGCAGCAGUUUUGGGGCUGGGGACACAGCCCAGGUGUGCAGGAGGAGCAGCUCAUACAGGAAAAUUCCCUGUGUUCUCCCCAUCCCCAGGCACCCUCUC
RNAcentral lists this long non-coding RNA (889 nucleotides) under Zonotrichia albicollis (white-throated sparrow). Its description in RNAcentral is "lncRNA (ENSZALG00000000335.1)". Lineage: Eukaryota; Metazoa; Chordata; Aves; Passeriformes; Passerellidae. The record is from RNAcentral.